GGCGACCGGGUGAGUAACACGUGACUAACCUACCUCCGAGUGGGGAAUAACUCCGGGAAACCGGGGCUAAUACCGCAUAACAUCGCAAGAUCAAAGCAGCAAUGCGCUUGGAGAGGGGGUCGCGGCUGAUUAGCUCGUUGGCGGGGUAACGGCCCACCAAGGCGAAGAUCGGUAUCCGGCCUGAGAGGGCGCACGGACACACUGGAACUGAAACACGGUCCAGACUCCUACGGGAGGCAGCAGUGGGGAAUUUUGCGCAAUGGGGGAAACCCUGACGCAGCAACGCCGCGUGGAGGAUGAAGCCCUUUGGGGCGUAAACUCCUUUCGACUCGGAACGAUUAAUGACGGGUACGAGUUGGAAGAAGCACGGGUUAACU
Molecule: ribosomal RNA, 377 nt
Filed under: uncultured bacterium
Lineage: Bacteria
Description: bacterial SSU rRNA
Rfam family: Bacterial small subunit ribosomal RNA
Source: RNAcentral